UUAAAAUUUGGAUUCUACUGGGGAAAAAGAUUACAAUAAAGUGUCUGUGCUGCACCCAGGAAGGCAUGCCCACUGGGUAAGGCUCGGCACCAAGCGGCCUCUCACUGUGGGUCAGGCUCGCAUGGGGCGGGUGUGCCUGGCCCCUGUGUGAACCUGGAGCUGGCCAUGGGGAGAGGCUGCUCUGGGGCUUUUCAGAGAAUCCGUGGUUGAUUCCCUCAAGGACUCCCUCAAGGGGGCCACGCUCCUCCUCCCUGGGUCCCCUCCCUGGCCCCCACCCUUCCCUUUCUCAGGUCCUCCCUCUGACAGUGGCUGUAGCCCUCUGCUCCUAGCCCAGGGCAGCCCUGGCCUCUGGAGUCACAGUCAUGUGUUCAAGUCUCGGCCCCUUUCCCAAGGUGAGCUGGUCCUGCAGGGAUGCGGGAAGUGUCAGAAUAUGAAAACAACCAGGACAAGGACAGCUCAGCUUACCCCGCUCCAGCACCUUCUCCAGGUCAAGCACUUGGCCAGCCCUGUAGCAGCCUCCUCAUUCCAUCUCUCUGGUGUUUUACAGAUGAGAAAUGAGCACAGAGAGGUUAGGAGCAUUGUCCAGUGCCACAGAGCUGGCAUGUGCUUGUCUGGGCUGAGAACUCUAUGAAGCCUUGGAAAUGCUCCCCACAUAUGGAGCAGUGUGUUCAGGCCCCAUGGCCUGACCGGGAGCAGGAGGGAAGGACAGGCUCAGGUCUCGCAUCCCGGGAAGAAUUUCUCCUCAGUGCACCAGGGAAUAUCGCCUGACGACGGAAUCAGGUUUCUUUCCCCAUGACCCCUCCACCAUUAGUGUUCCCAGAAAGCCAGGGGCUGCUGUGCCCAGAGGAGGUGCACCCUGGGAGCCCUGCCUGCAGGACGGGAAGCAGAGCCCCCUCAGAACAGAAACUAGGAACAGAGGAGGGACAAGGGAGGGAGGGCAGAAGGUCCGGUGCCCUCAGUUUCUAUCCAUCCUUGGGUCGGAAACCUGGGAUGGAAUGAGUGAGGAGCUGGGUCCACAGGGACAGGAACUGGGGGAUACCAGGGGCUAGGGCUGCUCAUCCUUUCCCAAGGAGGAGCCAGGGAAAAAUUAAGCUCAUAGGGAAUGUCGGGUUCACCGGGCCUGGCGGACUCCAGAUCCCAGAGGCAGGGCACCCACACAUCUCUCACCGGCACGCACCAGGGCCCCGAUAGCCGGGCACCAUCAUGGCGAAUUACAUUACAUUGCAUUACCCGGGGACCACUAUCAUGACCACGUUGGGAGAGGAAACUGAGGCACUAAGCUGCCAAAGUCACGCAGCCCACAACACUGGAAGGCAAAGCAGCCGUCUGGACCCCAGAACUGGAGCUGUCCCCUCACUGGGCGAAACCCAGAACCCAGUGUUUGCUUCUUUCUCAGAGUAGCAAGAAGACAUGGCAGAGCUGCCCUCAGGCUGGAGGCUUGCAAGCCGGAGGCGCACCACUGUCUAAGCAAACCAGGCACGAGGAAACGCAUUCGCAAGCCUGAGAAGAUGAGUGGCCAUCACUGGCAUCACCGAAAUGGCCUCCUCAACCGGACGGGAAGAAUCCCUCCCCCAGCUGACUCCCCGAGAUGCUCCAUGCCCCACGUUCCUGACCUCCUAGGGGAAGGAGCAGGAGGAACCCAAGGCCAUCAGAGGGGCCUGGACUGUGGGUGCUGCCAAGUCUGUAGGUGACCCGGUGACCAUCCCGGUUUGCAGGGGACCAAGAUUCUUUCUGGGAUGUGGUGCUUUCAGUGGCAACAAGAAGAGCCCCCUCGGCAGCCCUGGCAAUCCAGGACAGUGGGUCGCCCCCGCACGGCCUGACGCUGUGGCGUGGAGUCUCCAGCGGGGCAGCACUGGGUUGGAGGAGGGAGGAUGCUGCCAGCAUCACGGGGAGGUCACAUGCCAGACACUGGUGUCUGAUUUCCCCUUGAGAGAGGUUUCAUCACUGCCCCGUCCUUGGAAAGGGUCACCCAGUCAGACUACAGAGCCAGGACCAUGAUCCAAAGCUGAGCAGUGCCCACCAAAGACAGUGUUCCCAGUGCUCAGGAGCCCUUGGGCCUUUAUAAGGUGUCUACCGUGGGACUAAAAAAACACCUGUCCCCAGGUGACAGCAUGCUGCCUUUGAAACACAGCUCUGUGAGAACACACCUGGCAAAGGCAGUCUUGGGGGCCACGCGGCAGGGACCCCUUUCCUUUACCAACUCUCACAGGCUGAGCCGCUCUUGCUGUGAAUGUACGUGGCCUUGGUAUGUUCUCCAGCAAGAUUAUAAGUGGAGGAUGGAGUCAGCUGGGAAGCGAGGCUCAGAUCAAGGAGGGCUACUACCAGGAUCCCUGCAGAAACAGGGACACAGGGAGAGAUGGCUGUAAAAUCCUUGAGCUUUAAGGGGUAAGCUCAUGGAGCCCUGAAAAAUAUGACUGCAUUGCAAAUGCCAACUUGUAGACACAAAUAUCGUGGAAGCAGGCCACGUUCAGCCUUGCACACUGUGCGCUCUUCCAUGACUGAGAACGUUAGUCACCUGCACCCUGACCAACCUCUCAUCCCUGAAGCCUGCUGGGAGGUGUCUGGGGACAGGAACGAAAAUUUACAAUGUUCUUUGGUUGUUUAAUUUUGAAUUUUCUCCCUCAUUAUUAUUGAAACUGAAACAUCUAAGAGGACACCCAGAUUUAUCUGAAACCGGAAGAUGACACGUAUGAAGGAUCAAGCAUUCAUCACAAACACAGGCAGGCGAAGGAGACCAAAACACAGCUAGGACCAUGCCAAGCGUCGGUGAUGAUGUGGAGAAAUGGGGACCUGCCAGACACUGCUGGUGGGGAGGUGACAUGGUGCAGCCACUAUGGAAAAUAGUCCAGCAGUUCCUCGAAAUGGAAAGCAGGAGUCCCAUGACCCAGCAGUUCCAUUUUCAAGGAAGUCCCCAAGAGAAAUAGAAACUUACGUCUUCACAAAAGCUUGAAAAUACACAUUCAUAGCAGCAUGAUUCAUAACAUCAAAAAGCAGAAACAGCCCAAAUGCCCAUCAGUGGAUGGAUGGAUAAGCACAAUGUGGCCCCUCCAUACGACACAAUAUUACUCAGCCAUAAGAACGAGUGAGGUAGCGGCACAGGCCACAAAGUGGGCGAACCUGGGAACCACGGGACUGAGUGGAAGGAGCCAGUCACAAAAGGUCAUGGGCUGUCUGAAUCCAUUCAUUUGAAUUUCCAGACUAGGCAAAUCCACAGAGACAGAAAGUGGGUUGGUGGUUGCAGUGGCUGGGGGCAGGGGGACAUGGGGAGAGUGCGGAGUGAGUACUAAUAGGUGUGUGGUUUCUUUUUUCAGUGAUAAAAAUGUACUAAAAUUUAUUGUGAUGGUUGCACAAGUCUGUGGCUGAAAACCACUGAAUUGUACGUUUUAAUGGGGUGCAUUGUUUGCGUGUGAAUCACAUCUCAAUAAAGCUGUUUUUAAAAUGCAAUUAUUGCACAAUGCAAA
This is a long non-coding RNA of Homo sapiens (human), 3461 nucleotides long. The record is from Ensembl. Lineage: Eukaryota; Metazoa; Chordata; Mammalia; Primates; Hominidae.